This 245-nucleotide long non-coding RNA is filed under the name Phoenix dactylifera (date palm). RNAcentral describes it as "long non-coding RNA (PDAC_LNC000193)". The record is from RNAcentral. Lineage: Eukaryota; Viridiplantae; Streptophyta; Magnoliopsida; Arecales; Arecaceae.
AAGAUAGCCGUCAAUGGGGCAAGCUAUCAACCAUAUGAAGAGGAGAGGGGGACCUAGCCUAUAUAUAGGAAACAAAGAGGAGCCUUCCCAUUAAAAGCUCCAAAACCCUAAUUGGGUUUCCUGGCCUACAUACCAAAAGUACCACAAUAAAUAGGACUCAAUCCUAUACAUCCAAGGUGCACCAAAGCCCAUAAAACAAAAUGAUCACACAUCAUAUUGGGCUUAAUCAUAGUACCAUUCUGAGC